RNAcentral lists this ribosomal RNA (467 nucleotides) under uncultured bacterium. RNAcentral's name for it is "partial 16S ribosomal RNA". It matches the Rfam family "Bacterial small subunit ribosomal RNA", at positions 28 to 507 of the family's 1533-position model. The record is from RNAcentral.
GACGAACGCUGGCGGCGUGCUUAACACAUGCAAGUCGAACGGAAAGGCCCUGCUUUUGUGGGGUGCUCGAGUGGCGAACGGGUGAGUAACACGUGAGUAACCUGCCCUUGACUUUGGGAUAACUUCAGGAAACUGGGGCUACUACCGGAUAGGAGCUUCUGCUGCAUGGUGGGGUUGGCAAGUUUCGGCGGUUGGGGAUGGACUCGCGGCUUAUCAGCUUAUUGGUGGGGUAGUGGCUUACCAAGGCUUUGCCGGGUAGCCGGCCUGAGAGGGUGACCGGCCACAUUGGGACUGAGAGAGGGCCCAGAGGCCAACGGGAGGCAGCGGUGGGGAGUAUUGCACAAUGCGCGGAAGCAUGUUGCAGAAACGCCGCGUUCGUGAUGACGGCCUUCGGGUUAUAAACCGCUUUCGCCUGAGACGAAGCGGGAGUGACGGUAAUGGGUAAAGAAGCACCGGCUAACUACGUG